Molecule: small nucleolar RNA, 138 nt
Organism: Ornithorhynchus anatinus (platypus)
Lineage: Eukaryota; Metazoa; Chordata; Mammalia; Monotremata; Ornithorhynchidae
Source: RefSeq, a predicted model, not a curated record
CCCCUUUCAGGCUCGCAACUGGAGAGUUGCCAGUACUCUUCCAGUCUCGGCUGCGGGAGGGAGAGUCAGGCAGAAUCAUACCCGUUCCAUUCCCAGCUUGGGCAGUGGCUAGCAAACGGAGGACAAUCUGCUACAAAA